GCAUAUCAAUAAGCGGAGGAAAAGAAACCAACAGGGAUUGCCUCAGUAGCGGCGAGUGAAGCGGCAAAAGCUCAGAUUUGAAAUCGCCUUUCGGGGCGAGUUGUAGAUUGCAGGUGGGAGAGUUUGUGGAGGCGCGUGCCGAAGUCCCUUGGAACAGGGCGCCAUUGAGGGUGAGAGCCCCGUGCGACGCGUGCCGAAGCUUUAACUCCCCUCUGACGAGUCGAGUUGUUUGGGAAUGCAGCUCUAAGUGGGUGGUAAAUUCCAUCUAAGGCUAAAUACUGGCGAGAGACCGAUAGCGAACAAGUACUGUGAAGGAAAGAUGAAAAGCACUUUGAAAAGAGAGUGAAACAGCACGUGAAAUUGUUGAAAGGGAAGGGUAUUGGGCUCGACAUGGGAAUUGCGCACCGCUGCUCCUUGUGGGCGGCGCUCUGGGCUUUUCCUGGGCCAGCAUCGGUUUUCGCCGCAGGAGAAGGGGCUGUGGAAUGUAGCUGCUUGCAGUGUUAUAGCCACUGGCCAGAUGCUGCGUGUGGGGACCGAGGGCUGCGACAUCUGUCUCGGAUGCUGGCACAACGGCGCAAUACCGCCCGUCUUGAAACACGGACC
RNAcentral lists this ribosomal RNA (603 nucleotides) under [Candida] sp. VTT C-04532. RNAcentral's name for it is "eukaryotic LSU rRNA". It matches the Rfam family "Eukaryotic large subunit ribosomal RNA", at positions 38 to 667 of the family's 3401-position model. Lineage: Eukaryota; Fungi; Ascomycota; Saccharomycetes; Saccharomycetales. The record is from RNAcentral.